AAGCACAUCCUGCAUAGCCCUAAAUCCAUUAAACCUUGAGUCACACAGCACAUGUUUCUGCCAGCACAGGGUUGGGGUUAGGAUUACAGAUUAACAGCAUUUCAAGGAAGAAGAAUUUUUCUUAGUACAGAACAAAAUGGAGUCUCUCGUGUCUACGUCUUUCUACAUAGACCCAGUAAUAGUCUGAUCUCUUUUUUCCCCACAUGAACAGCUUGAACCUGAAACGUUCACUUGAAACCAUUGCACAGGAAGUGGAUUUCUCAGCAGCUGUUGGUGGGGCCAGUGACCCCCUGAUAGUGAGCAGCUCUGGGAACAGAACUGACAUGAGUGUCUGGGAGGGGACAUGGGAAGGAUCUGCAUACAGAUUGAAGAUCCAAUUUUAUUAAUUUUCUAUACUAUUAUGUACUUUAAUAUGUAAUUGAUUUUAAGUGUGUCUCUGGAAACAUAAGCUUUAAUAGUUUACAUCUUCACUUAAUCACUUAUGAAAUCGUUUUAUAACCCUUCAUAAAAUUAGAUAGUGUAACUUCUCAAACUUUGUUCUCUGAUAAAGUCCUUUUGGUUAUCCAAGGUCUUUUGCAUUUCCAUAUGAAUUUUAGAAUCAGUUUGUCAAUUUUCUACAAAAAGAAUUCUGCUGGGAUUUCAAAUGGGAUUGCAUUGAAUCAGAAUCAAUUUGGAAAGAAUUUACAGUUCAACAGUCUUAGGUCUUCUACCCCAUGGCCACAAUAUGGCUCUCCAUUUAAUUAAUUAAAUUUAAUUAAUUUAUUUGAUUUCUCUUAAUAAUGAUUUAUAGUUUUCAGCAUCCAGGUCUUGCACAUCUUUUGUUAGAUAUAUCCCUAAGUAUUUCCUAUUUGUAUGGCAUUGUUACAGUAUUGUUUUUAAAAUUUCAGUUUCCAGUUGUUCAUUGCUAGUUUAUGCAAAUCUGAUGGAUUUUUGUGCAUUGAUUCUGUAUAUUGCCACCAUGCUGAACUCACCUAUCAAUUCUGGUUUCUUUUUUUGGUACAUUCCAUGGGAUUUUCUGCGUAGAUAUGAUGUCUGCAAAGAGAGACAGUUUUACUUCUUGUUCCCAAUCUGUCUUUACUUUUCUCUCCAUUUUACUCGUUUCUACUUGGAAGCUCAGGACAUUGGCUUGAGACCUUUAUUCCUUUAUAAUACAGGUAUUUACUGCUAUAAACUUCCCUGCCUUACAUGGGAUCCUACAAAUUUUGAUACAUUGUGUUUUCAUUUCUGCUUAGCUCAAAAUACUUUAAAAAUUUUUUUUGAGUUCUUCUUUGACUUAUGGAUUAUUUAGAAUGUGUUAGUUUCCUAAUAUUGGAAUAUUUUCCAGAGAUCUAUUAUCAAUUUCUAAUUUAAUUCCAUUGUUGUCAAAAAACAUUGUGUGCUUUCGAGUUUAUUGAUACUUCUUGUGUGAACCAGAAUAGGAUCUAUUAUGGUAAAUGUUUCAUGUAUGCUUGAGAAGAACAUAUAUUUUGCCAUCGUUAGGUGAAGUAUAGUGUAAAUGUCAACGAAGUCAAGUUGGUUGAUUGUGUUGUUCAAGACUUCUGUAUCCUUACUGAUGUUCUGUCUACUGGUUUUAUCAAUGAGAGAGAGGUAUUUAAAUCUCCAACUUUAACUGUGGGUGUGUCUGUUUCUCCAUAUAGUUUUACUAGUUUUUGCUUCAUAUAUUUGGAAGUUCUGUCACUAGAUGCAGAAAUGUUGAAGAUUUUUAUAUCCUCUUGAUGAGUUGACCCUCUUGUAUUAUAAAAUGACCCUCUUUAUUGCUAGUGAUAUUCUUUGUUCUGAAAUCCACCCUGUUUUAUAUUAAUAUAGCCACUCCAGCUUUCUUUAGAUGAGUGUACCCAGGAUAUAUAAUUUUCCAUUAUUUUUACUUUGAAUCAACUUGUAUCUUGUUACUUAAAGUGGGUUUGUGCAGCAUAUAGUUGAGUUGUGGGUUUUUUCUUUGUUUGUUUGUUUUUUUAGCCAAUCUGACAGUCUCUGACUUUAAGUGGUGUUUUAGACUAUUUACAUUUCAUGUGAUGAUUUAUAUGGUUAGGUUUAAAUCCUCCAUAUAUCUAUUUGUUUUCUUCUUGUCCUAUUUAUUCUUCAUUCCUUUUUUUAAUGUUUUUCUGUCUUCUUUUAGGAUAAUUUUUUAAUGAUUCUGUUUUAUCUCCUUUGUUGGCAUAUUAGCUAUAUCUAUUGUGUUAUUUUAGUAGUUGCAUUAAGAUUUGCAGUGCAGCUUAUCACCAUAAUUAUCAUUAUCAUUUAUUUUAUACUGUAAAUACCUUAAAAUAGUAUAUUUACAUUUCUCUCCACCUGAUCAUUAUGUGGUUGUUAUCAUAUAUUAUUCUAAACAUGGUAUAAACUCCAGAAUACAAUUUUACUGUUUUUUGCUUUAAGUGGCCAAUUACUUUUUAAAUAUAUUUAAAUAAUAAUAAGCAUUAAAUAAUUAUAAUAAAAUCAAAUAUAUAUAAUAUUAUAAAAAUCAUUUUAUGUUUACUCACAGCUAAUAUUUCUAGCGCUCGUUUUCUCUUGGUUGAUUCAUAUUUCCUUCUGGUAUCAUCUUCCUUCUACUUGGAAGACUUUCUUGAAGAUUUCUUAGAGUGUAGUUUUGCUGGUGAUUAAUUCUUUCAGCUUUUGUAUGUCUGAAAAAGUAUUUGGCCUUUGUUUAUAAGGCAUAGUUUUGUUGGAUAUAAAAUUCUAUGUUGACAUCUGUUUUCUUUCAGUAAUUUAAAGAUGUUGCUCCGUUGUCUUUUUUUUUUGGCUUGUAUUGUUUCUAGUUAAAAAUCUGCUAUCAUUCUUAUUUUUGUUCCUCUGCAUAUGGUGCAUACAAUUUUUUAACCCAUUUGGCUGCUUUUAUUUUUUUCUCUUAAUCACGGGUUUUAAGUAAUUUGAUUAUUGAAGUGGGUAGAAUCGUGUUACCACAAAAUAAUACAUCCAAGUCCUAACUCCUGGUACCUGUGAAUGUGACCUGAUUAGAAAUAUGAUUUUUCUAGGUGUAAUCAAGUUUAGAUGUGGUUGGUUAUACCAGAUUAGGAUGGGCCCUAAUCCAGUGACUGGUGUCUCUAUAAGGUGAGGGAAAUUUGAACACCGAUACACACAGAGGAGAACGUUGUAUGGAGACAAAGACACACAGAGGAUGCCACGUGAUGAUGGAAGUAAAGAUGGGACUGAUGCUUCAAGCCAGGGAACACCAAGGAUUGGUCGCAGCCACCAGAAUUACAAAGAGGCAAGGAAGCCUCCUCCCCUAGGACCUUCAGAGAGGGCAUGGCCCUGGCAACAUCCUGAUUUCAGGCUCUGGCCUCCAGGACUGUGACAGAAUAAAUUUAUUUUAAGCCACAUAGUUUUUGUUACAGCAGAUCUAGGAAACUAAUACAUUUGUGAUGUGCCCUGAUGUAGUGUUUCUGUUUCUUGUUCUUGGAUUUUAUUGAGCGUCUUGAAUCUGCAGGUUUGUCAUUUUCAUCAAGCUUAGAAACUGCCAUGAAAUCUUUAAAUAUUUUUCAGCUCUCUCCAGCUUCUUUGGGAAUGCCAGUGAAAUGACCCACAAAUACUCUGAUCAUUUUUUAAGCUUUUUAAAUUCAUCUGUAAGUUUUAUUUUGGAUCUAUUCAAUUGUUCUGUUGCUAUAUUUUCAAGUGCACCAACCUUUUCUUUCACAGUGUUUAAUCUGCUAUUCAUCCCAGCCAGCGUGUUUUUCAUCUCAGACAUUGUGGUUUUCAUCUCUUGAUUUUUUUCUUCUCUUGAUGUUUGAUUGGAGGCUUUAAUGCAUCUUCUCUAUCUCCACUAAAAUGUUCAAUCUUUCCUCUAGCUUCUUGAAUGUAUUUAAUGCCUUUAUUAUCACUGUUUAAGUGUCCUUGUCUAUUAAUUGUAUUAUCUGUGUUAUUUCUGACUUUCUUUGAUUGAAUCAUUUUUCUCAUUAUGGAGCUUAUUUUGUCACUUCUUCGCAUGCCUGGUAGUUUUUGAUUGGAUAACAGACAUUGUGAAUUUUGCUUUUUGGGGUGCUGGAUAUUUUUAUAUUCCUCUAAGUAUGCCCGAGUUUUCCUCUGUGACACAGUUAAGUUACUUGGAAACCAUUUAGUUCUUUCAGGACUUGUUUUUAAGUUUUCUGAGACCAGACCAGAGCAGCAUUUAGUCUAGGACUAACAGCGUACUGAGAAGCACUCUACUCUAUGCCCUGUGAAUUGUGAAAGUUUCCACUCAGGGUGGUGGAAACAGAAACUGUGCCUAGCUUGUUCCUUAACACUUUCGGAUGACUGUUUCCUUAGUCUCGGAAUAUGGAAGAAUCACGUAGCCAAGGCGUUUGUAUCCACUAGGUAGAACAGGCACAGUGCCUAGGGCCUACAAUAUUUUCAGGGGCUCAUGAAAAUACUUUAAUUCAUUUUAUGAUUGAAAAAAAGUCUAAGAAAAUGUUUUAGUACCUGCCAAGAUAUUCAUCUUUAUGGCAAUAUAAUUGGAAAACGUGGAUAUGUGGAGGAAGUGGUACAGGAAGGCAAAGUUGACUGGGGCCCACAGAAACAUAAUGCAAUCUUGCAUGUGGGUGGGGGAGAGCAUAUUGGCUAUGAGCUGGGGGUGAGCAUCAUCUCUCAACAGAUAGUAAUGAAAUGGUGUAAUUGGGUGAGCUUCCAAAUAGAGCUGGUUUCUUGGGAAACAAGCCAAAAGCAAAGCUUGGGCUCUGGGUUUGACCCAUAAUGGACUGGCAAGAGAAAAAAAGAGGAACAGGGUGGCCAGAGAGAGAAAGGCCGUCAAUGACGACGUGUGGGUGGAGUGCAGAGCAGGGCACUUAAAGUCGGUACACCCAGGACGAGUUCACUUGCAUUUCUCAGCCUGAGUUUCCUUGUCUCUACAAAAGAGUUAGUGCUAACUGCCUUGCAGGAAGGCUGGGAGAAUUCAAGGAGAUACAUGUGAAAGUUUUGCAGAAAGGACAACAUUCUCUGCAACUGUCUGUCAUUAGAGAAACAAGAAGGAUCCAAGUAAUGGAAGCCAAGAUUACAGAGAAGAGUGUAUUAGAGUCACAGAAGGUCAGAACUGGGAUACAUCCUUGGGGACACUUAAUCCAUCAUUCCUAGAGGAAGAAAUCAAGGUGUCAGAGGCAUCAGAAGCCCUGUGAAGUGAUGGAGACCAUGGACAGUGAUAUGGUUUGGUGUGUCCCCACCCAAAUUUCACCUCGAAUUGUAAUAAUCCCCAUGUGUCAAGGACAGGACCAGGUGGAGACAAUUGAAUCAUGGGGCCAGUUUCCCCCAUGCUGUUCUCCUGAUAGUGAGUGAGUCCUAACAAGAUCUGAUGGUUUUAUAGGGGCUUCCCCCUUCACUUGGCACCCAUUCUCUCUCCUGCUGCCCUGGUGCCUUCCGCCAUGAUUGUUAAGUUUCCUCAAGCCUCCCCUGCCAUGCGGAAUUGUCAAUUAAACCUCUCUUCUUUACACAUUACUCAGUCUGGGGUAUUUCUUCAUAGCAGGGUGAGAAUGGAGUAAGACAAACAGGAACUUACCCACCACCCAUACCGCCAUGAAGAGUCUGGAAAACAAUGUUUCGAAGAUUUCAGCCACUAUGAUCCUGGGAGAGACGUGAAGAGGGCCAGGAUGCUGCUGAGUGUCAAUCCGGUAUCCAGCACAUGGUACUCAACGCGAGUGUCAAUAAUAGGACUUCCCAUCCAGUUGUUAAUGAUAGCACUUUGAUGUUCCUAGCCCAAUGUGCUGCAGGUGAUAAGCCCUCAGAAUCUGCUAACUCACAAAGUCGGUUUUCUCAGAACCUGGUUAGAAUGACAGGCUCGUUUUUUUGUUUUUCGAGACAGAAUUUCACUCUGUCACCGAGGCUGGAGUACAGUGGCACAGUCUCGGCUCACUGCAACCUCUGCCACCUAUGCUCAAGCAAUCCUCCCACCUUAGCCUCCCAGGUAGCUGGGACUACAGACACGUACCACCACACCUGGCUAAUUUUUGUAUUUUUUUGCAGAGAUGGAGUUUCACCAUAUUGCCCAGGCUGGUCUUAAACUCCUGGGCUCAAGUGAUCCUCCUGCCUCGGCCUCCCGGAGCGCUGGGAUUAUAAGCAUGAGCCACUGUGUCUUACCCUCAGUCUCAUUUCUAAUCCCUAAUUGGGGAACUGUCUGAUUUGAUCGGACAGUUUGGGCCGUAAUAGGAUCCUUGUCCUUAUUAUCUGGACUCAGGACCAUCUGCCUCCUUUAUUCCGGCUCAGAGGGUGAAUGGAGACUCGGAAUUUCAUCCAACUGCUCAGAAAAAAACGCAAACAAUGAAUUACAAGAACAAGCUCAAUUCAAGACUAGAGUUCACAUUCUUAGAAGGCUGCAGUUCUUCAGUCUAAACAGAAUCAGUCAGAGUCUAACCAAUUCCUGUACGAAGGCUCAAGGCCAGGACCUGCCCUUAUAACCCUCCAUCCCAGAUGGAGUUAAUGAAACUGGAGUUCAGUCUUUGUCACUUUGUGCUCAAAUACCCUGGCUGGCUUGUAACAAGAAAGAAUUAGGGCAUAGCUCAGAUACAAAAGUGGAAAAAGAAACGGCUAUAAUCCAUGGGGAAGACUUUCUAUUUCUUAAUCUGUCUCCUGUCCCAAAUAGCUCAGCUCUCCUCCCCCAACUCGUGUUUAUGUGUUAAAUUUCUUUCUCUUGUAGCAGAUGCCACCAGACCGACAGUCUCUAAACUAGGUCAGAGAGAGUGAUGAAUUGACAAAGUCCCUCAGGCUACAUCAUCCGUGUCCUCACUCUGUCUCCAGUUCCCUGGCCUGCUUUCCCUGGCAUCUUAGGGUGGCCCCUGUUCCCAGAACCACAGAGGCCUGGGGGGUCCUCUGUCCAGCUCCAGGAUUCCUGAUUUGCAGAUUAUCAGCCCUCAUAGCUGGAAGGAUGGAGGGGGAGGUAGGGCUUAACUGUCCCCAGCCCUUUGUGCCCCUCCCAUAUGCUGAGUCCUCUCAUUUUCAUUCCACUCUGGCACUGAUGGAAUAAAGUCAGAGGACAGUUAGCCACUUGAAACAACAGCCAGAAAACCACACUUCUCUUCUAGAACUUUCAUUGUAUUGGGGCCCAUUUCAAACAAACAGAAUCCAAGUAAGUCCCUGCUGUGUGCAGUUGUAAUAGCAUUGAUAUAGCAGGUGGAGAAUAGGUUUUUUUGUUGUUGUUUGAAAUAGGAUCAAAGGAACCUUAUUUCAAAUUCCAGGGCACUGAGACCAAGAGAAAUGAUGACUUGUCCAAUGUAACACAGGAAGGAACAGAGUCCAGGGUGUUAAAAACUUCAGGUGAAUUGUAUUUAAAGGACUUUAAUUGAACAAUGAACGAUUCGUGAAUCGGGCAGCCCUCAGAGUCACAGAGAGACUCCAGGGAUGCCUCAUGGUCAGAACAAAUUUAUAGACCAAAAAAAAAAAAAAAAAAAAAAAAGGUGGGGGGAAGUGACCUAUAGGAAUCUGCAGUGAGGUACAGAAACAACUGGAUUGGUUACAGGUUGGUGUUUGCCUUGUUUGAACUUAGUUUAAACACUCAGCAGUGAAUGAAUGGUUGAAGUGUGGCUGCUGGGAUUGACCAAGACUCAGCUAUUGUUACAGGUGCAUACGCCUAAGUUAGGGAUUCAAUCUUGUCUGCCUAGGUUAGUUUGUCCACAAGGACUCAAAUAUAGAACUUCAGAGUCCUUCUCAGGCCGUAUUUAGUUUGCUUUAACACAAGGGUCAGACUGCAGCCUUACACUUGCUUCCUCCUUCAGUGCACAGCAACAACAAACAAAACCUAGAUCCGUUUUUUUCUUUUCCGCAAGAUGUCCUUUACGAGAAUAGAUGGGUCAUACUUAUGACUAACAUUUGAAAGGGAAAAUGUUGCAUUUUACAAAAGAUUACUGUCAUGAAUAUCGAAGCAAAAGUCCUGAUGGAUAUUAUAGACUUGGGAGUAGAUGAUUUUUCUUUCCAGUUGGUAUUUUAAAAAUAAUGUUUGGAUUUUCACUCCUGGGUAGGAUGCUGUAAAUUGUGGUAGACCAGCACACCCAUCCAGAAAAAAAGCUGGAUCAACUUCUUUAAAUCAUAGGAAUUUUUUAAAAGCAUAGGAAAACUGUGGGACCAAUGAGGACUAAAUCAACUGAAAUUUCAGGGAAUCAUCACUGUUAUGAAAUGAGGUGUCAUUGCUAACAGGUUUUCAUCCCCCCUGUCCCCUGGGGGACAUUUGUCAAUCCUGUCUCUAGGCUGAGAAUCAGACUUGGUCCGGAAAGAGAUCACCUGCAGGGGCAGAGAGAAGCCAGUAAGGCUUUUAGGAGUGGAGUUGUGUGGGUCUGGAAGAGAAACUAGAAACUUGAAAGACCCAAGUGCCCAAUUUCAAGCUGAAUGGGCGUCUGGACAGCUAGACUAUUAUCUAAAUGUCAAAGGGAAAAACCUUGCAGCCUCCAAUGCUCAGGGAACAAAGACCUAUCAAUGGAGAAAUCGGCAUCAGGAUCCCCAGUCACCUGCUUCUCAAGACAGGCACCAGGAUGAAGCUGCCUGGGGGAAAAGGCUGGGAACCUCGAAUCUCCUGCAGAUCUCAAGGCGAAGGUGUUUGACACCUGCCAGUCUCUCCGUCAGGAGGUUGCAAGGGCAUGCCCAGAAAAUAAGCAUCAUGAGAAGAAGACUGAGUUUAUCUGAGGUUUGACUGCAAAACCAGCCAUAACCCAGCUAAAUCCCUGAUUGGAUUGAAAUGAUCAUUCCUUGAAUUUAUCUGCACAGUAGAGCACAGAGGGCUCUGCUAUGGUGGAAGGCAACAUGUGGAACCUCCAUUCUUAUUCUCUUUCUAAAUACACAGUGUUGAGUGUUUAAAUGUAUUAAAUUUCAUUAAGAUUAAACAUUUAAAAGUUACCAACUAUACAAAGAAGUGGAAAAAUAUAACUCUACAAUCUAGACAUUAACAUUGCCUGUAUGGAUUUAAAAAGAAAACCAACCAUAUGUUACUUGGGUAUUUUAAAAAUAAGAGCACAAAAAGUUUGAAAGUAAAAUAUAGGAAAGAAAUGAUGUAAACACCAACCAAGAGAAAGCUAGUGAAGCAAAGUAGACUUUAAGUCAUGAAUGGAGCCAGAAUCACAUAGGAUUCAGAUAUUGGAGGGAGCAGACAGGAGUUUAGAAUAACCAUAAUUAAUAUGCUAAGUCAAAUGGAGGCAGGGUGUACAGAAUGAAUGAAAAGAUUCAGAACUUCAAAAAAAUUGUAAAUUACAAAGAGUCAAUAGAAUUGGUAGAAUUCAAAAAAAAGUUUGAAAUUAAUAAUGAAAUGGGUAGUUUCAACAGCAGAUUAGACACAGCAGAAUACAAAAUUUUUAAAUUAGAAGAGAAGUGCCCAGGGACAGAAAAAGAAAACAUACAUGGCAUAAGAGAUACAUGGGACACAUUCAUAAUGUUUAUCACAUAAUACUAUAUAUGUGUAUAUAUGUACUCUAUAUAUAGUAUUACAGUUUAAGAAAGAGAAACAUAAGACAAAAUCAAUAUUUUAGAAAUACCAAAUUAGUAUUUUUCAAAACUUAUUAAUAUUGAUCCCCAUAUUUAAAAAACUCAGAACCUCAAGCAAGAGAGACACAAGCAAAACCACAAGUAGGCAAAUCCUAGUAAAACUGUUGAAAAAUGAAGAGAAAAUCCUAAAAGUGUCCAGAAGCAAAAAAAAAGACACAUUACCUUCCAGAAAACAACAAUAGAAAUGACAGCUGACUUCUCAACAGAAAUGAUGAAAGCUGGAAGUAAUUUAAUAACAACUUUGAAAUGAUGAAAGAAAAAUAAGACACAAUCUAGAAUCUUAACUCAGUAAAAUAUGCUUCAAAAAAUAUAGUGAAAUAAAAACAUUUUGAAGCAAAUGAGAACUGAGGGCAUUUGUUGCCAACAGGCCUGCAUUAAAAGAAUAGUAAAAGACAGUUAUUCUGGUAGAAGAAAAAUGAUCCAGGAUGGGACUGUAAUAUGCAGGAUGAAAAGGAAAAAAAGAGAAAAUGUGUGAUAAAUAUAAAUGAAUAUUUAUUGUACAAGGCAAUAACUGUGUCUCAUGAAAUUUAAAAUAUAUAUAGAAUUAAAAUGCAUAACAACAAAAACGCAAAAGGUGGGGGUUGAUGGAUAGAAGCCAAAGAUUCUAAGUUUUUGCCAAUAUCAGAGACAUGGUUGAAAUAAUUAUAAAGUAUAACUAAGUGGAUAGAUGGAAAAUACGGAUUAAUAAAAAUUGUUUGACUACUC
Long non-coding RNA from Nomascus leucogenys (northern white-cheeked gibbon), 10122 nucleotides. RefSeq lists it as uncharacterized. Lineage: Eukaryota; Metazoa; Chordata; Mammalia; Primates; Hylobatidae. The transcript has 2 exons. The record is from RefSeq and is a predicted model, not a curated record.